This 292-nucleotide signal recognition particle RNA is filed under the name Saimiri boliviensis boliviensis (Bolivian squirrel monkey). RNAcentral describes it as "Metazoan signal recognition particle RNA (ENSSBOG00000000854.1)". It matches the Rfam family "Metazoan signal recognition particle RNA". From Rfam's summary of the family: The signal recognition particle (SRP) is a universally conserved ribonucleoprotein. It is involved in the co-translational targeting of proteins to membranes. The eukaryotic SRP consists of a 300-nucleotide 7S RNA and six proteins: SRPs 72, 68, 54, 19, 14, and 9. Lineage: Eukaryota; Metazoa; Chordata; Mammalia; Primates; Cebidae. The record is from RNAcentral.
GCCGGGAGAGGUUGCACAUGCCUGUAGUCCUAGCUACUCAGGAGGCUGAGGUGGGAGGAUGGCUUGAGCCCAGGAGUGCUGGACUGUAGUGCGCUAUGCCCAUUGGGUGUCUGCACUAAGUUCGGCAUCAAUAUGGUGACCUCCCAGGAGUGGGGGGACCACCAGGUUGCCUAAGGAGGGGUGAACCGGCCCAGGUUGGAAACGGAGCAGGUCAAAACUCCCAUGCAGUGGGAUUGCGCCUGUGAAUAGCCACUGCACUCCAGCCUGGGCAACAUAGUGAGACCCUGUCUCU